GUUCAGUAAGACUUACAUGUUGCCCUGAUGUCCUUGGCUUUGUCUGAUAAGAGUUUUUCAACUUCACUCUUCUCUCCAUGCAUGAAGACAAAUUCAAUACCAUGUGUAGUCCUAGUACUGUGGUACUUGUUUUAUCUUCAAUUUUCAGAUAAAAUAGUGCAGCAGUAUUGAGAAAAAUUUUUAUAUUUGAAUUUGCAAACAUAAUGAACAAUGUGUGACUGACAUCCCAGUUUUCUGGUGCUCCAAUGAUUGGUAAACAACGUUUGUUCUACUAAAACAAGAAUCAGCUAAUAUCCCUGUUGUGCUCCUCUUGUUGGCCUUAUCAGAUAUAAAAGCUCUACCGAGCUCCAGAGCUUAGAUCUGCAGCAGUUCAGCUCAUGCAGUGUGUUUGCUGCCCUGUGCUUAAACACUGCUGGUUACGCAGGGGAUGCAGAGUUGGGCAUGGCAGCCCUUAGAGGAGCUUCGCCUAUUGGCACCAGGGUCACUAAGGACUGUCAGUACUGUCAGUGACAGCAUCUCUCCUGGACAGACCUGAGCCCACCCUGGAGAAAGGGAAGAGGACAGGGAGGGGGCAUAGCCCUGGGCUCUCUGCCUCCUGAAGAUUUAGGAUGAAAGGACCCUGGGGAAUCUCUCCAGUGAGUGUCUUACAGGUGAGGGUUCACACACACUUCGCAUGGCUCCCAUCCCUGGUUUCCUUUCACAGAUGAUGGUUAGAUUUAGCAACAUCAGGAGAAGCCACUGAGACAUGGACUGCAGAGCCUCAGUUCAAGAUCCUGCUGAGAAAGUGAAGCAGGCAGGGUCCUUGGAUGUACAUCUACUGCUACCGAGGUCACCAUGGCAGUACCACUCAGCCCCAGUCCAGGGGCUGAAGUGAAUGUUGUGGAGUUCAAGGAGUAUAAGUGCUCUUGGGUGGGAGAGAAUAAACUGCAAUUUGAAGACUGCAGAUCAAGUUCUGUUAGACCUGAAGCAGCUCUCGGCUCUCUGGACACCAAAGUGCAGAAACGUGGUGAGUUGUGUAGGUUCACAGUGAGCAGGAUGAUAAAUGGUUCUGUUUUCUCUCCAUAAGUGAAAAAUGGUCUCCAAAAGUGAUUCUUUUCUUCACUUUAUCGAAAUUAAUUUACCUUCCCAUAUUUGUAGAAAGGUAGAAGUUGGUAUCUUGCCCGCCCUCUGGAUGGAAAACUGGGGCUCAAAGCAUUUACCAGUGUUUCCCAGUUCAGAGUGAGGAGUGGGGUGGGACCCAGGUAAAAAUCCCAGUUACCGAUUGCUGUUGAAGGCAGGGAAUGGUGUGCUUUUCUCAAGAAUGGGUCAGGCCAUUUCGGUGAGGACCCUCUGUGUCCCCUCUCAGAUCCUCCAGAUGUGUAGCAUUACUCUUGGCCUACUGUUCUGGGACCAGGGGCCUCGCCUUGCCCUAUGGAGCUUCUAUGGAGUCCGAGUGGGCACGGCACCUGCUGGUUAUGUUGGGGAAAGCUGGGGGCGACAGGUUUCAGAGGAGCUUGGGGGGGAUUCUGCUCCUUUAUGGCAGCCACCAUUGUUGCCAUGGA
RNAcentral lists this long non-coding RNA (1541 nucleotides) under Heterocephalus glaber (naked mole-rat). RNAcentral's name for it is "lncRNA (ENSHGLG00100045601.1)". Lineage: Eukaryota; Metazoa; Chordata; Mammalia; Rodentia; Bathyergidae. The record is from RNAcentral.